Molecule: long non-coding RNA, 296 nt
Organism: Neofelis nebulosa (Clouded leopard)
Lineage: Eukaryota; Metazoa; Chordata; Mammalia; Carnivora; Felidae
Exons: 2
Source: RefSeq, a predicted model, not a curated record
UGGGGACACAGACAAGUAGAAAGGCAACUGCAAGACACCGUGCAUUGAAAGGGAAGUACAGAGGAGGGGCACUAAACUGGAUAUGGGAUUCAGGAAAGGCUUCCUGGAAAACAUGGAGUGUUGGCUGAGAUCUGAAGGAAAAUAAAGGAUCUAAACCCCUUUGAGCACUCAGAUACCAGGCCAACGAAAGCUAGAGAAUCGAUGCUGAUCCUUCAUCACUUCAACCUGGAUUCUGCCAACUUAAGAUGACUUUUGCCCCAAUGUCAUGCUACAUUCCCCAUUGUGCAAGCCCUUUA